This is a transfer RNA of 102 nucleotides. It matches the Rfam family "tRNA". Rfam says of the family: Transfer RNA (tRNA) molecules are approximately 80 nucleotides in length. Their secondary structure includes four short double-helical elements and three loops (D, anti-codon, and T loops). The record is from Rfam.
GUCAAGGUGCCAGAGUGGUUAAUGGGCUGCCCUGCUACCAAACCCUUGGUUUCAGUAUAGGCAGUGGCUUCGGUCGCGCAGGUUCGAAUCCUGUCCUUGACG